Molecule: unclassified non-coding RNA, 670 nt
Filed under: Lingula anatina
Lineage: Eukaryota; Metazoa; Brachiopoda; Lingulata; Lingulida; Lingulidae
Description: uncharacterized LOC106162084, transcript variant X3
Source: RNAcentral
UUCAUUAUUAAUGAUAUGAUUUCUGAUUUCAGCCCAGACAAAGUUAUGUUUCUGGAUUAUCAUCUCACUGAGGACAGCUAAACUCAUCUGAUCACUACCAAGAACUAAAAUGUGGCAGCUUAAGUACAGCACAGAUGAAGGUGUGUUUUCUGGAUUAUCAUCUCACUGAGGACAGCUGACAACAUAUGGCAGUUUCAGCACAGCCCAGAUGAAAGUGUGUUUUCUGGAUUAUCAUCUCACUAAGGACAGCUGAACUCAUCUGAUCACUGUCAAGAACUACAACAUAAGGCAGUUUCAGCACAGCCCAGAUGAAGUUAUAUUUCUGGAUUAUUAUCUCACUGAGGACUGCGAAACUCAUCUGAUCACCUUCCAGAUUGAACUACAACAUGGCAGCUUCAGCACAGGUCAGUGCAACAAUGAUAUAACUAUACUGGUGAUUCUCUUCAGUCCCCCUUUUUACACCACCACUAUACAUAUGUGACCCAUCAUGACAAAAUCAGGGAUAAUUUUGAUAUUUAUAUAUCUUUAAAAACUAAAAGAUGUCCUCUGUAAAAUGAUGUAAAUAAUAUUUCUGUACCUUUUAAAUUGUUUAAGUUAUUGAGGUUUAUAAUCGAAGGUAUUAGUGGUAGCCAUUUUGAGAGAACGGCCAUUAAAAAUCCACUUGUUUCUU